Molecule: ribosomal RNA, 499 nt
Filed under: uncultured bacterium
Lineage: Bacteria
Description: partial 16S ribosomal RNA
Rfam family: Bacterial small subunit ribosomal RNA
Source: RNAcentral
GACGAACGCUGGCGGCGUGCCUAAUACAUGCAAGUCGAACGAGAGCGACCGGUGCUUGCACUGGUCAAUCUAGUGGCGAACGGGUGAGUAACACGUGGGUAACCUGCUCAUCAGAGGGGGAUAACAUCCGGAAACGGAUGCUAAAACCGCAUAGGUCUUCGAGCCGCAUGGCUUGAAGAGGAAAAGAGGCGCAAGCUUCUGCUGAUGGAUGGACCCGCGGUGCAUUAGCUAGUUGGUGAGGUAACGGCUCACCAAGGCCGUGAUGCAUAGCCGACCUGAGAGGGUGAUCGGCCACAUUGGGACUGAGACACGGCCCAAACUCCUACGGGAGGCAGCAGUAGGGAAUCUUCCGCAAUGGACGCAAGUCUGACGGAGCAACGCCGCGUGAGUGAAGAAGGUUUUCGGAUCGUAAAACUCUGUCGUUAGAGAAGAACAAGUGCUAGAGUAACUGUUAGCGCCUUGACGGUAUCUAACCAGAAAGCCACGGCUAACUACGUGC